UGGGGAAUAUUGCACAAUGGGCGCAAGCCUGAUGCAGCCAUGCCGCGUGUGUGAAGAAGGCCUUCGGGUUGUAAAGCACUUUCAGCGGGGAGGAAGGCGAUAAGGUUAAUAACCUUGUCGAUUGACGUUACCCGCAGAAGAAGCACCGGCUAACUCCGUGCCAGCAGCCGCGGUAAUACGGAGGGGGCAAGCGUUAAUCGGAAUUACUGGGCGUAAAGCGCACGCAGGCGGUCUGUCAAGUCGGAUGUGAAAUCCCCGGGCUCAACCUGGGAACUGCAUUCGAAACUGGCAGGCUAGAGUCUUGUAGAGGGGGGUAGAAUUCCAGGUGUAGCGGUGAAAUGCGUAGAGAUCUGGAGGAAUACCGGUGGCGAAGGCGGCCCCCUGGACAAAGACUGACGCUCAGGUGCGAAAGCGUGGGGAGCAAACAGG
RNAcentral lists this ribosomal RNA (429 nucleotides) under Chloroflexota bacterium. Its description in RNAcentral is "Chloroflexi bacterium partial 16S ribosomal RNA". It matches the Rfam family "Bacterial small subunit ribosomal RNA", at positions 355 to 776 of the family's 1533-position model. The record is from RNAcentral. Lineage: Bacteria; Bacillati; Chloroflexota.